UACGUAGGGGGCAAGCGUUGUCCGGAUUUACUGGGCGUAAAGAGCGUGUAGGCGGCCAAACAGGUCCGUUGUGAAAACUGGAGGCUCAACCUCCAGACGGCGACGGAAACCGUGUGGCUAGAGUCCGGAAGAGGAGAGUGGAAUUCCUGGUGUAGCGGUGAAAUGCGCAGAUAUCAGGAGGAAUACCGGUGGCGAAGGCGGCAUCCUGGACCAUAACUGACGCUGAGGCGCGAAAGCUAGGGGAGCAAACAGG
RNAcentral lists this ribosomal RNA (253 nucleotides) under uncultured bacterium. RNAcentral's name for it is "partial 16S ribosomal RNA". It matches the Rfam family "Bacterial small subunit ribosomal RNA", at positions 524 to 776 of the family's 1533-position model. The record is from RNAcentral.